RNAcentral lists this ribosomal RNA (450 nucleotides) under uncultured bacterium. RNAcentral's name for it is "bacterial SSU rRNA". It matches the Rfam family "Bacterial small subunit ribosomal RNA", at positions 354 to 796 of the family's 1533-position model. The record is from RNAcentral.
GUGGGGAAUAUUGGACAAUGGGCGAAAGCCUGAUCCAGCCAUGCCGCGUGUGUGAAGAAGGUCUUCGGAUUGUAAAGCACUUUAAGUUGGGAGGAAGGGUAGUAACCUAAUACGUUGCUACUUUGACGUUACCGACAGAAUAAGCACCGGCUAACUUCGUGCCAGCAGCCGCGGUAAUACGAAGGGUGCAAGCGUUAAUCGGAAUUACUGGGCGUAAAGCGCGCGUAGGUGGUUCAGCAAGUUGAAGGUGAAAUCCCCGGGCUCAACCUGGGAACUGCCUCCAAAACUACUGAGCUAGAGUACGGUAGAGGGUAGUGGAAUUUCCUGUGUAGCGGUGAAAUGCGUAGAUAUAGGAAGGAACACCAGUGGCGAAGGCGACUACCUGGACUGAUACUGACACUGAGGUGCGAAAGCGUGGGGAGCAAACAGGAUUAGAAACCCUGGUAGUCC